This 595-nucleotide ribosomal RNA is filed under the name uncultured bacterium. Its description in RNAcentral is "SSU rRNA". It matches the Rfam family "Bacterial small subunit ribosomal RNA", at positions 242 to 853 of the family's 1533-position model. The record is from RNAcentral.
CAGCUAGUUGGUGGGGUAAGAGCCUACCAAGGCGUCGAUCGGUAGCUGGUCUGAGAGGACGAUCAGCCACACUGGGAUUGAGAACGGCCCAGACUCCUACGGGGGGCAGCAGUGAGGAAUUUUCGGCAAUGGGGGCAACCCUGACCGAGCAACGCCGCGUGCAGGAAGGAGGUUUUCGGAUCGUAAACUGCUUUUCUCGGGGAAGAGCAAGGACGGUACCCGAGGAAGAAGCCCCGGCUAACUACGUGCCAGCAGCCGCGGUAAUACGUAGGGGGCGAGCGUUGUCCGGAGUUACUGGGCGUAAAGCGCACGCAGGCGGUCGUGUAAGUUUGGGGUUACAGCUCCCGGCUCAACCGGGAGAGCGCCUUGAAGACUGCAGGACUUGAGGGCCAAAGAGGGACACAGAAUUCCGGGUGUAGUGGUGAAAUGCGUAGAUAUCCGGAGGAAUACCAAAGGCGAAGGCAGUGUCCUGGUUGGAACCUGACGCUCAGGUGCGAAAGCUAGGGGAGCGAACGGGAUUAGAUACCCCGGUAGUCCUAGCCGUAAACGAUGACCACUAGGUGUGCGGGGUAUCGACCCCCUGCGUGCCGGAGCU